RNAcentral lists this ribosomal RNA (253 nucleotides) under uncultured bacterium. RNAcentral describes it as "partial 16S ribosomal RNA". It matches the Rfam family "Bacterial small subunit ribosomal RNA", at positions 524 to 776 of the family's 1533-position model. The record is from RNAcentral.
UACGCAGGGGGCUAGCGUUGUCCGGAAUCAUUGGGCGUAAAGAGCGUGUAGGCGGUCCGGUAAGUCCGCUGUGAAAGUCGGGGGCUCAACCCUCGAAUGCCGGUGGAUACUGUCGGGCUAGAGUGCGGAAGAGGCGAGUGGAAUUCCUGGUGUAGCGGUGAAAUGCGCAGAUAUCAGGAGGAACACCCGUGGCGAAAGCGGCUCUCUGGGACGGUACUGACGCUGAGACGCGAAAGCGUGGGGAGCAAACAGG